GGCAGUUUACACAGCACUUUCAAGCCAUAAGUGCACUCAUUAUUUAUUAUAAUCAUGUAAUUAAGUAAGGCUGUUAAAUGAACUUUGUUUUCAAAUGACAAACUUCAACUUAAAGAGGUUAGAAGACUUGUCCAGGGUCAUGUUAACAGGUAAAUCUACUGUGAAUGUGAUGAGCCAAGCCCAGAUCACCAACUUCAAACAGAAUUAGAGGUACCUGUAGAGAGUUAUGCUGGCAGCCGGGCUUUUACUAAAGCCAGCAGAGCAGAGGAAAACAUUGGAAGGACUCAGUCACCAAGUUUCCUUCCCAUGAGAAGACUCAACUAUAUUUUUGUCAUGG
Long non-coding RNA from Eptesicus fuscus (big brown bat), 337 nucleotides. RefSeq lists it as uncharacterized. The record is from RefSeq and is a predicted model, not a curated record. The transcript has 3 exons. Lineage: Eukaryota; Metazoa; Chordata; Mammalia; Chiroptera; Vespertilionidae.